Small nucleolar RNA from Protobothrops mucrosquamatus (brown spotted pit viper), 117 nucleotides. RefSeq annotates it as small nucleolar RNA U3. NCBI's taxonomy places the organism in Eukaryota, Metazoa, Chordata, Lepidosauria, Squamata, Viperidae. The record is from RefSeq and is a predicted model, not a curated record. The transcript has a single exon.
GGGACUAUACUUUCAGGAUCAUUUCUAUAGUAUCCAACUAGAGAAAUGCACUCGAAAGUGAUCGGGCCCUGUUUUUGCCACAUGGGUACUAGUGCUGCCCUGUUUUUGCCACGUGGU